This 629-nucleotide ribosomal RNA is filed under the name Vibrio sp. N26. RNAcentral's name for it is "bacterial SSU rRNA". It matches the Rfam family "Bacterial small subunit ribosomal RNA", at positions 45 to 663 of the family's 1533-position model. Lineage: Bacteria; Pseudomonadati; Pseudomonadota; Gammaproteobacteria; Vibrionales; Vibrionaceae. The record is from RNAcentral.
GGCCUAACACAUGCAAGUCGAGCGGCAGCACAGAGGAACUUGUUCCUUGGGUGGCGAGCGGCGGACGGGUGAGUAAUGCCUGGGAAAUUGCCCUGAUGUGGGGGAUAACCAUUGGAAACGAUGGCUAAUACCGCAUGAUGCCUACGGGCCAAAGAGGGGGACCUUCGGGCCUCUCGCGUCAGGAUAUGCCCAGGUGGGAUUAGCUAGUUGGUGAGGUAAUGGCUCACCAAGGCGACGAUCCCUAGCUGGUCUGAGAGGAUGAUCAGCCACACUGGAACUGAGACACGGUCCAGACUCCUACGGGAGGCAGCAGUGGGGAAUAUUGCACAAUGGGCGCAAGCCUGAUGCAGCCAUGCCGCGUGUAUGAAGAAGGCCUUCGGGUUGUAAAGUACUUUCAGUCGUGAGGAAGGUUGUAGUGUGAAUAGCACUAUGAUUUGACGUUAGCGACAGAAGAAGCACCGGCUAACUCCGUGCCAGCAGCCGCGGUAAUACGGAGGGUGCGAGCGUUAAUCGGAAUUACUGGGCGUAAAGCGCAUGCAGGUGGUUUGUUAAGUCAGAUGUGAAAGCCCUGGGCUCAACCUAGGAGUUGCAUUUGAAACUGACAAGCUAGAGUACUGUAGAGGGGGGUA